Non-coding RNA from Microstroma glucosiphilum, 98 nucleotides. NCBI's taxonomy places the organism in Eukaryota, Fungi, Basidiomycota, Exobasidiomycetes, Microstromatales, Microstromataceae. The record is from the annotation of a RefSeq genome assembly.
GCGUUGAUGGUCUAGUGGUUAUGAUUCUCGCCUUCCAAUCUGCGAUAACAACUCGCAUUGUUAAGCGUGAGAGCGGGGUUCGAUUCCCCGUCAACGCA